This 253-nucleotide ribosomal RNA is filed under the name uncultured bacterium. Its description in RNAcentral is "partial 16S ribosomal RNA". It matches the Rfam family "Bacterial small subunit ribosomal RNA", at positions 524 to 776 of the family's 1533-position model. The record is from RNAcentral.
UACGGAGGAUCCAAGCGUUAUCCGGAUUUAUUGGGUUUAAAGGGUGCGUAGGCGGCCUGUUAAGUCAGGGGUGAAAGACGGUAGCUCAACUAUCGCAGUGCCCUUGAUACUGAUGGGCUUGAAUGGACUAGAGGUAGGCGGAAUGUGACAAGUAGCGGUGAAAUGCAUAGAUAUGUCACAGAACACCGAUUGCGAAGGCAGCUUACUAUGGUCCUAUUGACGCUGAGGCACGAAAGCGUGGGGAUCGAACAGG